GAUCAUGGCUCAGGACGAACGCUGGCGGCGUGCUUAACACAUGCAAGUCGAACGAAGAUACACAGAAAGCUUGCUUUCAGUGUAGACUGAGUGGCGGACGGGUGAGUAACGCGUGAGUAACCUGCCUUCAAGAGGGGGACAACUUAGGGAAACUUAAGCUAAUACCGCAUGACAUUAAUUUAUCGCAUGAUAGAUUAAUCAAAGAUUUAUCGCUUGAAGAUGGACUCGCGUCCGA
RNAcentral lists this ribosomal RNA (235 nucleotides) under uncultured bacterium. Its description in RNAcentral is "partial 16S ribosomal RNA". It matches the Rfam family "Bacterial small subunit ribosomal RNA", at positions 15 to 240 of the family's 1533-position model. The record is from RNAcentral.